CAAUUGAAUUAGCCAAAAGGGGAGUGGGGUUGCACCCCACAAUCACAAUUGGGCCUUGAUACUUAAAAAAAGAAAAACUUUUAUAAACCUGUAAGAUAAACAUAUUCUACCAGAGCUUCAUUAACAAAAAGACAUCCAGCAAGAAGGUCCAAUAUGGUUAAUGACACGGGGACAAGGGUAUGCUUGCACAGGACCAGGUCACACAGCACCAUCAUGGAUGUCACCCCAGAACAUGUGGCCAUAGAGAGAGAUGUUCAAGCCGGUGGUAAGGUCGGCUGGCAGCAGACCUGUCUUGGACUUUACGUGGGUCGGUCAUGCCGACAGCUGUGUCUUUCGUUUCUCUUCUUAGUCGGCUACAGGAGAUACUAAGCCGCAAAUGGCCAAGGCCUGCUCAGCUUCAAGUCAGAGUGUUUCAACUGCUGUAAUCACAAAAACAAAUAGGAGGGAUUGUUGGAGACUGGCUGUGUGGGGUUAAGCUGCUGGGCACAGGGACCUCUCGCUGUAUUGGAAAAGAGCACACGGUGCUCUGAUGUCAGGACAGAACCACAGCUGAGGCAGCUGAGGACAGGGACUAGUCCAGAGCAGUGACGCUGGUGACCUUAGAGGUCAAGCAGUUCCCUUCAAUGGCAAACUAACUUCCAAGGUUCUGCUCCGUUCCUACAGUGCCUCAGUAUCACCUUCCUUUGUUUGCAAUCCACAUAAAUACGGGUUGUGUGGUGGAGCUCUUUGUCUUUACUGCUAAGAGAGUACUGACCUCCUGGAUGCUGCCAAGCCAUACUGCUGGUCUCAUUAUUUGAGCCGUUCACUGUCCACUCACUUAGACUGGGACUAGGCCCAGCCCAAUAUGCAGUCGUGAUCCCAAGAGCACAAAGGGCCCUCGUGUGGAAAUCUCUGCCCAUGCCAGGGCUGGAAAACCUUGUGCUGAGCCCGCUUUUACCACUCCCGGCCUGCUUCAUCAGGACUGUGAGACACUAUGGCACCGUGAGGCCUCUAGGGCGGCGGUGUAGCUGCCCGACCUCUUUUCCAAGCUUUCACAAGCUCAUGGUCCUGUCUUCACAGCUCUGUCCUUCUGGUGCUACUUGUGCCAUCCCCUUGAUGAACAAUUUUAGGGUCUCAGCUCCUGUGUGUCCGGAAUAGCCACGGGCACCGGUGGGGACACCCACACAGGCAGGGGCUCUGUAUUUCCUGUUGAAACCCAGGGAGAGCCUGAGUGAACCGUCCACCUCCACAAACUGCCAAUUCACUGUUUGCACCCAUGGUCAGUGGCCAGCUGGGUCAGCAAUGCACCCUGUCAGCAUUGCUGGAAGAAAUACCCGUGACAUUCAGGUCGUGAGGGUUAUGGUGCCUGAGUGGUUUUCAGGGAUUUGGAGGCUCUCCAACUGGCACCUCCAGCCAUGCAUACUCACAUGGGCUGGUGCCAUGUGCAGAAGUCAGGGCUCAGAGCCCGGCAUCAGAGGUCAGGGCAAGAAUCCACCACGUGAGCUUAAGGUAUUUUGUCCCAGGAAUGGAAAAGCUGACUCUGCAUGGCCUUUGAAGUGAGAGCUCACGGGGCCGGGGAGAUGGCUCAGCGGAAUGAGCGCUUCCCUGAGGGCCUGAGUUCAAUCCCUGGUUCCGCAAAAAAAAAAAAAAAAAAAGAAGUGAGAGCUCAGAACCUGACCCUUGCUGUCAGAGGCCAGAAUCCCACACUUGUAUGCAGUUGGAGGUAACCGCACCACUGAGGGUUGAGAAACUGGAGCCUCAUGCUUGCCAUGAAGGAGUCUUGGUCACUAUGUGUGAGGUCACUAAGGGGCGAGGCUUGGACAUCCCCAUGAGUGAGGGAAAAGGAGAAGUGUGGUG
Long non-coding RNA from Octodon degus (degu), 1836 nucleotides. RefSeq lists it as uncharacterized. NCBI's taxonomy places the organism in Eukaryota, Metazoa, Chordata, Mammalia, Rodentia, Octodontidae. The record is from RefSeq and is a predicted model, not a curated record. The transcript is spliced from 2 exons.